AGUGAACGCUGGCGGUAGGCCUAACACAUGCAAGUCGAACGGCAGCACAGGAGAGCUUGCUCUCUGGGUGGCGAGUGGCGGACGGGUGAGGAAUACAUCGGAAUCUACUCUGUCGUGGGGGAUGACGUAGGGAAACUUACGCUAAUACCGCAUACGACCUACGGGUGAAAGCAGGGGACCUUCGGGCCUUGCGCGAUUGAAUGAGCCGAUGUCGGAUUAGCUAGUUGGCGGGGUAAAGGCCCACCAAGGCGACGAUCCGUAGCUGGUCUGAGAGGAUGAUCAGCCACACUGGAACUGAGACACGGUCCAGAAUCCUACGGGAGGCAGCAGUGGGGAAUAUUGGACAAUGGGCGCAAGCCUGAUCCAGCCAUACCGCGUGGGUGAAGAAGGCCUUCGGGUUGUAAAGCCCUUUUGUUGGGAAAGAAAUCCAGCUGGCUAAUACCCGGUUGGGAUGACGGUACCCAAAGAAUAAGCACCGGCUAACUUCGUGCCAGCCGCCGCAGUAA
RNAcentral lists this ribosomal RNA (506 nucleotides) under uncultured bacterium. RNAcentral describes it as "partial 16S ribosomal RNA". It matches the Rfam family "Bacterial small subunit ribosomal RNA", at positions 29 to 523 of the family's 1533-position model. The record is from RNAcentral.